Molecule: long non-coding RNA, 3833 nt
Filed under: Mytilus galloprovincialis (Mediterranean mussel)
Lineage: Eukaryota; Metazoa; Mollusca; Bivalvia; Mytilida; Mytilidae
Source: RNAcentral
GUUUUAAAAAUUGUACUUUACAGAUUGGUGUAUGAUUGGAUGAAUGGACAUGGAUAUCCCUUAGAGAUUAUACAUAUCAAAGACUGGAAAAAAAGGUAACUCUAAAUGACAUAUAAAUUGUGUAUGGUACCAUUAAACGGUUUGUCUGCAUAAGAAACACGUGUAAAAAUCAAAUUUCUCUAGUCAAAGCUAGACUAAUUGCAUAUUAAAUAACUAUCCAAAAGCCGGAGGGUUAUUAGAACCAAUAGACUUUUGUUUACCCUAAUUUGUCACAUAUUACCCUGCUUCUGUAUUUAGAAAUGAAUUUGAAAUCUUUACUGUUGUCAACUUCCACCAUUUUGUCAACGUCAGUGUAUUUUAUUCUUCAUUUUCAUCUCCUAGUAUAAAAAAGAAAGUCGAUCAACAAUGUAAGCUUUAUCUAUAUAAUUCUAUUUUGGUAUGCUCCUACGUUUAGCAAAGGUAUACUGCAAACCAUUUUAUUUUACAUAGCACUGCGUUGUACAUUGGAGGAAACAAAAUUAUGAGUUAUACAUUUGAUUUUAUAAUAUUGACUUACGUCUGCACAAUGGACACUUUCUCUCGUGGUUUAGUUUGCCACCUAUGUUUUAUAGAAAUUAACAAUGAUGAUCGGAUGAAAACAAAAUUUUUCGACACACGAGAUGUUAACUUUCCAUUUCAAUGUAGCAAUAUAACAGCAGCGCCUUUGCAUGGAGGUUGAAUCUCCUAGCUAUAACGGCGGUCCAGGUCUUGUCUUUCCUAUCAUGGUUUCAUUGAAAGGAGGUUGCUACUUACAAGGAAGCUAUUAAACCAAUAGUUCCAACCGGUGAAGUUGAAAUCAUCCCUUCGUAAAUUUUAGGGACGAGUUGAGUCACCGUAACGCAAUAUCCGUUUCACAGAUGAUAACGGAUAUGUUCCUCAUGUUGUAACUACGAUCCUGUCCCCUUUUAAUGAAUAUGACCUUCAAAAUUAGACUGAUUACUGGACGAGUACUAACAUGGGCAAUACGGGAUCAACAAUUGGAAUAGUUUUAUCAAUGUAGUGCCAUCAAAUAUUCCUGCUAGCCCCUACUUUCUUUCAUAAAUUUAUACCAUAUAGUUUUAAAAAAUCAUAUUUGUAAUUGCCAAAAACCCUUGUCAAUGUUUUAUAAUUUUUUAAACAAAGGGUUCAAAUGUUAAAUGAAUGCAGGCUAGAAGGAAUUAUUUCCCAAUACAUUAACAAUGGUUUAUUUCUCGAAAACAAGCUCGAAGCCCCUUCUUUAUUUCUGAAUUUUAAGUUUCUUUGAUUAUAUUCCAUCAAUUUCAAAUAGUUUUCUAAAAGCUUGUUAUCUCAAAACAGAGUAGUUAACGUACAUGUAGGAGAUUUAUAUGUUUGAUAAAUUAAAAACGUCUUUUAUAGAAUUCUAGAAGAGCUGAAAAGAGAAAAAAAUCACGUAUAUACUGAAACCAAUUUGCAAAGUCUGUUAGAGUUAAAUCAUAAGUAUGUAUAUUUGAUGAUAUAAACUAGUGUAUACUGUACCAUGCAAAAGACAUAAUUGCUUUCAAAUGUUAACCACAAUUGACACAAAAGUAAAAUAACACACAUGUCGAAUACACCGUAUGCUAAGUCUUUAAAUGUAUAAAAGGAAGUGAAAUGAAUUUAUGGACAGGUUUUGUCUCUUUGAAAUUGAUAAAAAGACGAAUUGCUGUAGUAAAGUUAAUAUGAUUUGUGUUAUAAGAAUUUAUAAUGUAUUGUGCACAAAUCUAUUUUUGCAACUUGAAGUUUUACAAAUUUGUUAAAUAAGCACUGUGACAAUAUCAAGUGUUCAUAAGUUAAUAAAUAACAUCUUCACGAUUGUACGGUCUUGAGAAACCAAAGGAAUGAUGUAUUGUGAUUUUAUUGCAUUCACUUUAGACACAUAAUAAUUUCGUUUAAUAACAGUUCUGUUAUAUGUAACCACCAACCAUUUCACAUACUAAGUAGGUAUAAAAACGUUUGUCAUGAUUUUUGUAUUAAUUGAUGAUUUUCCUUUUCCAAUAGUGACGAUUUCUGUUCCACUUUGAAGACCUACAAGACCGCCAAUUUCAAAGAGGCAUUAACAGAUUUCAAGUUAUCAUAUCCAUACACUGAUUACAUAGUACUGCAAAAAUAUUUUGAAUGGUUAUCUCAGCAUGGAGACACUGUUCCUUAAGUACACAAGACUCACAUAUCAGGUGAGUUCCUAUAUGUGUUGUCGUCUGUCUUGUAAAAGAAUUAUAUUCACUUCAAACUUAGUACAGUAUGACCAUGGUGUACAAAAGUUUUUUUAUGUUUGUCCUUACACAAGUAACACUUCGGUGUCACAUAUGAAGCACAUAAUCUGAUCAUCUUUUUCGAAGAACCUAAAAUCGACACCAGUUUUAAAUGGAAAUUAUAUUGCUCAGUCUCUAGUUUUCUAUGUUGUCCUCUGUAAACCGUUAUUGUCUUAUGGUUUCCCAUGACUCUGUUAGUUUGAAUAUAUAAGUGAUAUCAUCUAUGCAUAACGUGUUUAAAUGGUAGUUAGCGGGAAAAAACAAGUAUAUUCUAUUCAGGUCAUGCCGCUUUGCAAGCAGAACUAUAGAACGAGUUUCAAAAGUAAAUUUUUAAAGUAUUACUAUUGACAAGUUUAUUUCUAAUUCGCAGAGUUAUUUUAGAGAAAAUUUACUUUCUUAAAAAUGAAAAAAGGAUAUAAUGAUCAUGCGUCCCAAUCGCUUUACUGGAUUUACCUCCAACGGAAAUGAUAACAAAUGAAUAUUUGAAAGGCACGUUUGUCAUACAAAACAAAAUUCAUGAUGCACAAGACAUAUGAUAUAAACGACAAGAGAGCAGAUCAUGAACAUGUCCAAAUGUGUCUGGUGAGCAACAAAUAAAUUACAUUGUAUCGAUGAUAUGCGCUGAAAAAACUCGUCAAAAGGUUAAAUUAGGCGACCAUUUAAUUGAUGCUUUAGGCAUAUAAUUCUUCAAAUCUCAUGAUUUAUAAUCACGCACAGCUAAAUAAAACAAAUGUUAAUCAUGCCUCACUCAGGGCCAUAGAAAUUUUCGGUGUUCUUCCGUACGUCAUGUCAGUUCGCCCUUAUGUCCAGCUUUAUGUCAAAGGUGUUGGCCAAUAUAAGUUAUGAUGUGUUAGUCUAAUCAACUUGAAACUUUCAUACAGUACACAUGUUUGAUAUUUUGGUAUUUUAACGCCAUUUUUACGCACUGCAUUAAUGCGUUCAGUUUUUACUGGUAGUGGAAGCCGGAGUGCCCGGAGAAAGCCAUCGACUACACAUGUUAGAUAUAGUCUUUCAAAUUAAGUGUCAAAUUAGAGUUUUUAUCCCAUUUUCACGUUCAACUGAAACUAUAAAAUGAUUAUGCGAGUGGGGUAUAUGUGUAUCAUGACCACUUUCUUGUUGAUUUUAUGUCAUUUUGGCACCACGUGUACGAAAAUAUCAUUUUGCAUAAUACGUGUAAUAUAUAUAUUGAUAGAUAUAUGCGUAUAAUUUCCAAUUUCUAUUUUACAGACGCAAACCAAAUUUGAUAUGACGUCCUUCUAUGUGAUCCUAGUAGCAAAUGACAUUGCCAAAAGUGUACUUUAUGCUGUAGAGCGACCACAUUAUAUGAGUGUUAAUGAAAUAUUCGUACAGUCAUAUAAGAAUUAAUUAUUUUUGUUUAGUGAUUAGCAAGUGAGAAUUAAUCUUCUUGUAUGAGUAAAAACAAGUCGUUGCAUGCAGAACUGGGAAACUCUGUGGCAUAUAGGUGCUGUAAAACAAGAUGAGGUAUAUCACAUGUAACUUUAAAGGCAACAAGCGUCUAAUGUUCAACUAAGUGUAAUUUUAUGAUUAUAAUAAUAGAUAGUAAAU